AACGAACGCUGGCGGCAUGCCUAACACAUGCAAGUCGAACGAGACCUUCGGGUCUAGUGGUGCACGGGUGCGUAACGCGUGGGAAUCUGCCCCUUGGUUCGGAAUAACAGCGAGAAAUUGCUGCUAAUACCGGAUAAUGACGUAAGUCCAAAGAUUUAUCGCCAAGGGAUGAGCCCGCGUAGGAUUAGCUAGUCGGUGUGGUAAAGGCGCACCAAGGCGACGAUCCUUAGCUGGUCUGAGAGGAUGAUCAGCCACACUGGGACUGAGACACGGCCCAGACUCCUACGGGAGGCAGCAGUGGGGAAUAUUGGACAAU
Molecule: ribosomal RNA, 316 nt
Filed under: uncultured bacterium
Lineage: Bacteria
Description: bacterial SSU rRNA
Rfam family: Bacterial small subunit ribosomal RNA
Source: RNAcentral